AUUUCUUCUACAAGUUUCUCAUCCUCUUCCAAAAACCAAGACUCUUUAGGUAACGAUGAACCUUUAUAAUUCUUGCAAAUCAAUUCAAGCUCAUUCCAUAACUGAGAUAGAGAAUCAAAACUCGCAACACGCAUCCAGACUUCUUCAUGCAUUACUCCUUGCAAAAUCUUCCUUGUUCUUUUUUCUUUUAUUUCUCGAA
RNAcentral lists this long non-coding RNA (199 nucleotides) under Panax ginseng (ginseng). RNAcentral's name for it is "long non-coding RNA (PGIN_LNC012801)". The record is from RNAcentral. Lineage: Eukaryota; Viridiplantae; Streptophyta; Magnoliopsida; Apiales; Araliaceae.